UACGUAGGGUGCGAGCGUUAAUCGGAAUUACUGGGCGUAAAGCGUGCGCAGGCGGUUUUGUAAGACAGGCGUGAAAUCCCCGGGCUCAACCUGGGAAUGGCACUUGUGACUGCAAGACUAGAGUACGGCAGAGGGGGGUAGAAUUCCACGUGUAGCAGUGAAAUGCGUAGAUAUGUGGAGGAAGACCGAUGGCGAAGGCAGCCCCCUGGGUCGAUACUGACGCUCAUGCACGAAAGCGUGGGGAGCAAACAGG
RNAcentral lists this ribosomal RNA (253 nucleotides) under uncultured bacterium. RNAcentral describes it as "partial 16S ribosomal RNA". It matches the Rfam family "Bacterial small subunit ribosomal RNA", at positions 524 to 776 of the family's 1533-position model. The record is from RNAcentral.